GCAUUUCUCCAUACUACCCUGAAUGCGCCCGAUCUCGUCUGAUCUCAGAAGCUAAGCAGGGUUGGGCCUGAUUAGUACUGGGAUGGAAUUCCACCUGGGAAUACUGGGUGCUGUAGGCU
Ribosomal RNA from Callithrix jacchus (white-tufted-ear marmoset), 119 nucleotides. Lineage: Eukaryota; Metazoa; Chordata; Mammalia; Primates; Cebidae. The record is from Ensembl.